CUUUAUUGGAGAGUUUGAUCCUGGCUCAGGACGAACGCUGGCGGCAUGCCUAAUACAUGCAAGUCGAGCGAACUUAAAGAGAAGCUUGCUUCUCUGAUGGUUAGCGGCGGACGGGUGAGUAACACGUAGGCAACCUGCCCUCAAGCUUGGGACAACUACCGGAAACGGUAGCUAAUACCGAAUAGUUGUUUUCUUCGCCUGAAGAAAACUGGAAAGACGGAGCAAUCUGUCACUUGGGGAUGGGCCUGCGGCGCAUUAGCUAGUUGGUGGGGUAACGGCUCACCAAGGCGACGAUGCGUAG
Molecule: ribosomal RNA, 301 nt
Filed under: Paenibacillus sp. OK003
Lineage: Bacteria; Bacillati; Bacillota; Bacilli; Caryophanales; Paenibacillaceae
Description: 16S rRNA. Bacterial SSU
Rfam family: Bacterial small subunit ribosomal RNA
Source: RNAcentral